RNAcentral lists this ribosomal RNA (496 nucleotides) under uncultured bacterium. RNAcentral's name for it is "partial 16S ribosomal RNA". It matches the Rfam family "Bacterial small subunit ribosomal RNA", at positions 29 to 507 of the family's 1533-position model. The record is from RNAcentral.
AUGAACGCUGGCGGCGUGCCUAAUACAUGCAAGUCGAGCGAACAGACGAGGAGCUUGCUCCUCUGACGUUAGCGGCGGACGGGUGAGUAACACGUGGAUAACCUACCUAUAAGACCGGGAUAACUUCGGGAAACCGGAGCUAAUACCGGAUAAUAUAUUGAACCGCUUGGUUCAAUAGUGAAAGACGGUUUUGCUGUCACUUAUAGAUGGAUCCGCGCCGCAUUAGCUAGUUGGUAAGGUAACGGCUUACCAAGGCAACGAUGCGUAGCCGACCUGAGAGGGUGAUCGGCCACACUGGAACUGAGACACGGUCCAGACUCCUACGGGAGGCAGCAGUAGGGAAUCUUCCGCAAUGGGCGAAAGCCUGACGGAGCAACGCCGCGUGAGUGAUGAAGGUCUUCGGAUCGUAAAACUCUGUUAUUAGGGAAGAACAAAUGUGUAAGUAACUAUGCACGUCUUGACGGUACCUAAUCAGAAAGCCACGGCUAACUACGUG